GCGGCCGCAUUGACGAUGCCUUCCCCCGCCGCCGAGACCCCGUCGGCAGCUGGAGCCUCCGCGCCGAGCGCAGCGCAUCCAAUCUGGAGCCGCCGCCGGAGAAGGAGGAGGAGGAGGAGGCGCCUGGCGACGAGGAAGCUUGGCGGAGCUGCCCGGGAUGUAUUUCAACCCAAAGGAAGGAAGGAUCCCGAGCGUCAAUUUUGUAAUAAACAUUACACGUGGAAUACAAUAUUGGCUUCGUUUUAAACCUGGUCCCCACCCCCUAUCAUAUAGGAAAGAAGAGAGACCCUGGGAAGACAGAAAUACAUUUGAGAUCUAAGGACUUCACCCCAGCUCCACAAAUGGAACUAAACGCAACAGAGCAACUGGAUUCCAUAUAACACUGGUAUUUACUAUUAACUGGCUGCUUUAAUUUUUUGGGGGCGGGGAGGGGGACAUUUCGCCUUUCUUUUUAUUCCCCUCCCGGCACUUCUGUCGUAAAUGAUGGCUCAUCCUGGGAUAAGAGAUUACAGUAACCGAGAGAUAGUGCUAAGAUACAUCCAUUACAAGCUGUUGCAGAAAGGAUAUAACUGGGCUUCCAGUGGAGACAGAGAAAAUGCUUCUUCUGCUGUCGGGACCUUCCCUGCCCUCGGAGGGCUGGUGUCUCUGCCUUCUGCUGCUGUUGGCAACUUGGCUGCCACCGAAGAACACCCUGUACCCCAAGUUGUUUAUUCCACGCUAUGCCAAGCUGGCGACGAGUUUUCCCGAAGGUAUCAGAGGGAUUUCACCCAGAUGUCUGGUCAACUCCACCUGACUCCGGUCACUGCCAGAAGUCAUUUCAUGGCUGUCGUGGAAGAGCUGUUCCGGGACGGAGUGAAUUGGGGAAGGAUUGUGGCAUUCUUUGAAUUUGGUGGCAUGCUGUGCGUGGAGAGUGCCAGCCGGGAGAUGUCACCUCUAGUGGACAGCAUCGCCGAAUGGAUGACCGAGUACAUGAACGGGCAUCUUCACAAUUGGAUCCAGGACAAUGGAGGCUGGGACGCCUUUGUGGAGCUGUACAGCAACAACAUCAGGCCUUUGUUAGAUUUGUCGUGGCUGCCUCUGAAGACGAUCCUUAGUCUGGCCGUGGUGGGCGCCUGCAUCACCCUGGGGGCUUACCUGGGACAUAAGUGACUUUUGACUUCAUCCAGCUGGUGAUGGGCUGAUGGGAAACCUUCAUUUCCGGAACUGAAAAAAGAGGAGUGUUGAAAGAAGAAAAUAAUAUGAGAUGUCUUCUAAAAGAAAAGAAGAUAAAGAAAUGCCCCACCAAUGCCUCCAUCUGGUAUGACUCCAUAGACAUUCAACCCUUUGAGGUGCCAAGUGUUUUUUUGCAUGGAAAUCUGGAAAGGAAAGAGAAUGGAGAAUAUGUUACAAUAACUUUAAGCAAAAAUGAAUAUGAGACCCUCCGCGCCUACCGUUGGGUUCUUUGAUUAUAAAUAUCUAGGUGGCUUAUAGGCAGAGCUGCUGGCACCUUAACAUCAUCAGGCAUCAACCCAGGAUUACCUUGGUGUCUCAACCCAACCGCCUGAGCACCUGUCACUUGAUUACUGUUCCUGUGAAUUCAUCUACUAUCCA
This is an RNA transcript of Thamnophis elegans (Western terrestrial garter snake), 1590 nucleotides long. It is a transcript of the gene named BCL2 apoptosis regulator, with no coding region annotated. Lineage: Eukaryota; Metazoa; Chordata; Lepidosauria; Squamata; Natricidae. The transcript is spliced from 4 exons. The record is from RefSeq and is a predicted model, not a curated record.